Molecule: long non-coding RNA, 244 nt
Filed under: Gossypium barbadense (sea-island cotton)
Lineage: Eukaryota; Viridiplantae; Streptophyta; Magnoliopsida; Malvales; Malvaceae
Description: long non-coding RNA (GBAR_LNC002350)
Source: RNAcentral
UGGUCUACUCGUGUGGGCCCACACAGCCCAAAUCAGUCUAGUCCGUGUGUCGCACACGGCCGCCUAGCCAUCACACGACCGUGUCAUGUGCGCACGGCCUGGCCUCGUCUAACACUCGCCCGUAUCCAUCACACGGCCUACCACACAAGAGACCACACGCCCAUGUGGCGUCAACAGAAUGCUUUUUUAGCUUUUUUUCGUAUCUCGUUUUCUGCGUUUUGGGUACACACCUGUGUCGUUUUUU